Long non-coding RNA from Phodopus roborovskii (desert hamster), 300 nucleotides. RefSeq lists it as uncharacterized. The transcript has 3 exons. Lineage: Eukaryota; Metazoa; Chordata; Mammalia; Rodentia; Cricetidae. The record is from RefSeq and is a predicted model, not a curated record.
ACAGACAAAUUUCGCAGGAAGACAAAAACUGGGUGGCCAACAUCCAAGAGCUACAAAGAAAGCACAGGAUAUCAGACAGGAGUCUGCUUGUCAAGUGCCUGAUAGUGCUGGGAUUUGUUAUCUCCAUGUUCUUCCUCAAUUCCUUUGUCCCUGGCAUUCAUCUUGAUCUCGGGUGGAUUGCUAUUCUGGGUGCCAUCUGGUUGCUAAUUUUAGCUGACGCUCACGACUUUGAGAUCAUUCUCCACAGAGUAGAGUGGCCGACCCUCCUCUUCUUUGCGGCGCUCUUUGUACUGAUGGAGG